AACGAACGCUGGCGGCAUGCCUAACACAUGCAAGUCGAACGAGACCUUCGGGUCUAGUGGCGCACGGGUGCGUAACGCGUGGGAACCUGCCCUUAGGUUCGGAAUAACUCCCCGAAAGGGGUGCUAAUACCGGAUAAUGUCUUCGGACCAAAGAUUUAUCGCCUUUGGAUGGGCCCGCGUUGGAUUAGCUAGUUGGUAGGGUAAAAGCCUACCAAGGCGACGAUCCAUAGCUGGUCUGAGAGGAUGAUCAGCCACACUGGGACUGAGACACGGCCCAGACUCCUACGGGAGGCAGCAGUGGGGAAUAUUGGACAAGGGGCGAAAGCCUGAUCCAGCAAUGCCGCGUGAGUGAUGAAGGCCUUAGAGUUGUAAAGCUCUUUUACCCGGGAUGAUAAUGACAGUACCGGGAGAAUAAGCUCCGGCUAACUCCGUG
This 433-nucleotide ribosomal RNA is filed under the name uncultured bacterium. RNAcentral describes it as "partial 16S ribosomal RNA". It matches the Rfam family "Bacterial small subunit ribosomal RNA", at positions 29 to 507 of the family's 1533-position model. The record is from RNAcentral.